UACAGAGGUGGCAAGCGUUGUUCGGAAUUACUGGGCGUAAAGGGCUCGUAGGCGGCCAACUAAGUCAGACGUGAAAUCCCUCGGCUUAACCGGGGAACUGCGUCUGAUACUGGAUGGCUUGAAUCCGGGAGAGGGAUGCGGAAUUCCAGGUGUAGCGGUGAAAUGCGUAGAUAUCUGGAGGAACACCGGUGGCGAAGGCGGCAUCCUGGACCGGCAUUGACGCUGAGGAGCGAAAGCCAGGGGAGCAAACGGG
RNAcentral lists this ribosomal RNA (253 nucleotides) under uncultured bacterium. RNAcentral's name for it is "partial 16S ribosomal RNA". It matches the Rfam family "Bacterial small subunit ribosomal RNA", at positions 524 to 776 of the family's 1533-position model. The record is from RNAcentral.